AUGGAGGUCAGAGUGAAUGGAUUUUGCAGUAUUGUAUACUUGGUUAUCAAUGCUGCCUUUUCAUCUGCAUCUAGCAAAGUGGAGAUUGUUGUCAUCAAUGAUCCCUUCAUUGACCCCCAACCAUGUGGCCUACAUGUCCUAGUAUAACUCUAGCCAUGGCAAGCUCAAUGAUACAGUCAAGGCUGAGAAUGGAAGAAUGGAAUACUUAUCAUCAAUUGGAAGCCCAUCACCAUAUUUCAGGAGCUAGAUUCUGCUAACAUCAAAUAGGGGGAUGUUGUUGCUAAGUAUGUCCUGGAGUCUACUGGUGUCUUCACCAUCAUGGAGAAGUCCAAAGCCCAAUGGAAUGGUUGGGCCAAAAGGGUCAUUAUCUCUGCCCCUUCUGCCAAUGCCCUUAUGUUUCUGAUGGGUGUGAACAAGGAGAAAAAUGACAACUUACUGAAGAUUGUCAGUAAUGCAUCCUGUACCACCAACUGCUUAGCCCUCCUGCCCAAGGUCAUCCAUGACAACUUUGCCAUUGUAGAAGUACUCUUGACUACGGUCAAUGCCAUCACUGCCUCUCAGAACACUAUGGAUGGCCCCCUGGAAAGCUAUUGUGUGGUGGCCAUGAUGCUGCCCAGAACAUCAUCCCUGCAUCCAGUGGCGCUACCAAGGCUGUGGGCAAGGUGA
Molecule: RNA transcript, 666 nt
Organism: Mastomys coucha (southern multimammate mouse)
Lineage: Eukaryota; Metazoa; Chordata; Mammalia; Rodentia; Muridae
Gene name: glyceraldehyde-3-phosphate dehydrogenase pseudogene
Exons: 1
Source: RefSeq, a predicted model, not a curated record